Molecule: ribosomal RNA, 229 nt
Filed under: uncultured bacterium
Lineage: Bacteria
Description: partial 16S ribosomal RNA
Rfam family: Bacterial small subunit ribosomal RNA
Source: RNAcentral
CCUGCCGUCUACUCUUGGACAGCCUUCUGAAAGGAAGAUUAAUACCCGAUGGCAUAGUUCUUCCGCAUGGUGGAACUAUUAAAGAAUUUCGGUCAUCGAUGGGGAUGCGUUCCAUUAGGUUGUUGGCGGGGUAACGGCCCACCAAGCCUUCGAUGGAUAGGGGUUCUGAGAGGAAGGUCCCCCACAUUGGAACUGAGACACGGUCCAAACUCCUACGGGAGGCAGCAUG